CUCACAGUUCUUCAGUUCCCUCGGCCGGAGUGCAGUGACGGGAAGGAAGGCACCGGAUUCCUUCGGGACACACUCUGGUGUUGACGGAUCUCCUGCCAGAUGUUGGUUAAGGUGCCCUUGAUGGUAUAGGGUUUAGGUGCAGGGAAGGCCGGGUCCCUGAUGUCAUCAUGCCAGCACCCUUGGGUGCAAAUGAGGUCAUA
This is a long non-coding RNA of Bufo bufo (common toad), 200 nucleotides long. RefSeq lists it as uncharacterized. The record is from RefSeq and is a predicted model, not a curated record. Lineage: Eukaryota; Metazoa; Chordata; Amphibia; Anura; Bufonidae. The transcript has 3 exons.